This 3322-nucleotide long non-coding RNA is filed under the name Nicotiana tabacum (common tobacco). RNAcentral's name for it is "long non-coding RNA (NTAB_LNC012656)". The record is from RNAcentral. Lineage: Eukaryota; Viridiplantae; Streptophyta; Magnoliopsida; Solanales; Solanaceae.
UAUUUGCAAUAAACUUUGAAAAACAAGCAUAUUUCUUGUAUUACACCUACUAAUAAAGAAAUAUUUCAAAAUAUGCACUGGCAAUAAGCUGUACAAAGUGGAAUAUAUUCAAAGAUCGCAAUUGUUCAAAAAGUCUUUAAUAGUCACUCUAAUAGAUCAAAUUGACUUAUGGCCACCAUAUCAAAUUACUUCACCCACAUUUUCCUACACAUUCAAAACAAAAUUAAAAUUAGAAAUAAUAUAUAGUAUGUAUUCAUAUAGAAUCAUGAAUAUGCAAGACCAUGGAUUGAAAGAACUUGACUAACUAGCAUCGGCGUCCAUUGGUUCUAUUACAAUUGAACAAAUAGAACACAAGUUUUGUAUCACUUGGAUCGUAUCACUAAUGAUCAAUAAUUAGCCCUUUAACAUCAGUUAGCUGCUCCGGAUGUGAAAGGAAAAGAAGAUACUUUCAGUCAGUUAUAUUUUUGUAUUGUCAUCAGCACUUCCUUUGGUGCUUGUGUGAAAAAUAUAUAUUAGAAAACUGAAGGAAGAAAAGAAAUAUGCUUUCCAAUUUAUGUACGUCAUGUCCAUUACAGGAAGACAAAUAUAUUGUUCUUACUUUACAUAAUGGGUUAUCUCUUCAUUUUUCCCAAUUCAACUUGACCACUUUACCAUCUCAACAUUAGUUGAUAGUAAUACUACUCUAUGCUCUUUUAACAUAUUUUUCCUUAGCUACUCAUUUUUUCAGCAUUUUAAACUAUAUUAUAGACUCCUUUUUUUAUAAGGAUAUACUAUAGAUACUUCUCUAUAGAAUUUUAAACAACUGGUGUCUAACCUUUUAUGCAAACAAGAAAAAGGAUCAAGUUUGGCAUUGUACUAUCUAAAAUUGACCUAAAAGGAAUGUAAUCUGUCAUUGUAACUCCAGAAAAUAACUUGAUAUAAUUUUAAAAAAAUACCUUUUCAAGAAUCAGACAUAAGUUGAACCAGAGGAAUGUGGAAGAAUUUUGCCUCACAUAACUCGUGCACUACUCACAUCGACCGAAGAAGGUAGGUUAGAUUAGACACACCCUGUUAUAUCCUAUUGUCAAGAUGUUUCGUAGAAAGUGAAGACAAAAAAGGCAAUACAUAAUAUCUAUCUAGAUGUAUAAAGAGAAAAGUGUUACGGAGGUAAAGACUAAAAUACAGUAUAGUUAAUCUUAAUAUGCAUAUAAAUAGAGAUCACUAUGACAGACUUUCUAUGUGAGUUUAAAAGAUUGGAUUAUAGUAAGAUUGGAUUAUAGUUUCAAGGAUAGAAUCAAGCAAUUAUCUUAUUAUAUAUGUCUUAAAUUUUUUUCUUUUUCCAUCAUUGUAAUGGAUAACAAAACACUUCACAGAAAUUAUAAACUUGUGCACAAAAGAUAUUACUAACAGCCCUUGAUUGCAUGUCAGUUUUCUCAAUAUCUCAACUUUUUCGAAGUUCUUACUCUAUCCAUUUCCUACUUGAUUUUCCUUCAUACUUAAGACAUUUUCUUAUUCAAUUUUGUAGGUGCAACUUUAGGUACCUUCUUGUUUCCACUAUUAUUCUCUCAGUUUAUCAGUUUAAUUUGACAAAAGUAAAAAUAAAGAGGAGAAGGUCAAGUUAGACUUGAAAGUUAUUGGAAGACUACAAGGUCAUAAGAACAACUAGAUAUUCUUAUGCUAAUAUUAAGCAAAUAAAGGAUUUUAGUGAAUACUUAGGAGAAGGAAGUCGUGGCAUUGUUUACAAAGGCAAACAUUCCCAGAAAAUCUAUGUUGCAGUAAGAGUCCUACGUAAUUUAAAGGCUAAAGGAGUAGAAUUAAUCAACCACAAUCAUUAUAUAUAAAAAUGAAAGUAGUAGGAAAAGCGUACCCGAUAUCACUACUGGGAGUGAGUCUCCGAGCACAGGCCUUUUUUUUAUUAAAACAAAAAAGUAUUCUUUUUUUUACAAUAAACUUUCAAUAAUGAUUAGAAAGGAGGUUUAUAAACAAACAAGUGUACUCUCUUUUAUUAGAAGUUUAUAAACUUCUAAUAAGAUCAUUAUGUAAACUAUAACCAUAACAAUAACAACAUGGCUUCUAUAGAUAUAAUGCAGAACAUUGCUUUUUCUAAAGAUGGCACACCCAAAGUUUGAAUGCCCCGGUGGAUUAUAUAUUUACUAUCAACUACUCCCCCUACAACAAUUUCAAGUUCCUUAUAAGAGUUAGAUAUACAUUAAGUUUUCUCCACAGGAGUAAGAUGUCUGAACUGUUUAGGUUCAUCCCACAAUUCCAAAGAAAAUUCGGAAGUAGCUUAGUUGUCAAUUUUUUUUCCAUAUUGUUAAGUUCAAAACGCUAUAUGCUUCCAAUUUUCUACCAAAUUUGGCACGAAAUAGCUUGUUGAACUAAAGCUCGCUUCUGAUUAAUGAAGAAUUUUCAAGAAAUCCUUUAUUUAAGGCAGAAUACAUUAUAUUCCUAUGGAGACUUACAUUUAGUUUUCUCUUUAGAGGUCCAAACUAUUUUGCAAGGUCAUAUAAAGCUAUCAUAUUGCAUCAAAAUUAUAUACUCCCUCCGUUCCAGUUUAUGUGAACCUAUUUUCUUUUUAGUCCGUUUCAAAAAGAAUGACUCCUUUCUAAAUUUAGAAAUAAUUUUGCUUAAACUUAUAAUUCUACCCUUAAUGAGAAGCUUUUAUAAUCACACAAAUAUUCUCAGUCCCUUUUUGAAUUGUUUAGGACCACAAAUUUCAAAAGUUUUCAUUUUUUCUUAAACUCCGUGCCCAGUCAAACAGGUUCACAUAAAUUGGAACGGAUGGAGUAGUAUUUAAGAUAUAGAACUUUCAAUUCUUGAAAUAAAAAUUACAAACAAAUGACAAAUUGACAAAGAAACAGACAGUAAAACAAGAACAAAAAGGGCGUUCCCUUAAGAAGAAAAGGAAUUCUAGAGUACCGAAAUCGCAAAGCCACUAAACUGAAAGGAUGUUUUAGAGAAAUCUUACCCACAAGUUUUUGGGAGACAAGAUCAGCCCUACGUACAUCGAAAUCCCCAAAUUAGCAUGCCAAUGGAAUCGAUCUCAAAGCUUGCAGAUGGAAUCGAUUCGAAAACGUGAUAAUGAAACAAAUAGCACAUAACACAAGCCAACGAAGACAUAACAGCACAGAACGACACAAUGGAACAAUAUUCAUACGAUCAGAAAGAGUUUCAAGAAGAGACAACCCAGAUUGACAUUCUAAUUGAAUCGAUUUCUCGCUGAUGGAAUUAGAACUUUAUUUUUUUCUAAAUAACAAGAAGAAAGAAAAAGAGCAGCAGGGAUAAUUGCCUCUUAGUACUACUUUUCCCCAAAAACCCCACUCCUACUAGACUUUUGCCGGGC